GGAAUGGGGGCGCCUAUUGGCGGAGACACGCUGCGACCCACAAUUGGUAGCACGCGUGCAGCCCAGAACAUCUAGUCGGGAUUGGGGACUGCAACGGUCCCCAUGAACCUGGAAUUUCUAGUAAGCACUAGUCAUUAGCUAGUGCUGAUUAC
RNAcentral lists this ribosomal RNA (152 nucleotides) under Anopheles funestus (African malaria mosquito). RNAcentral describes it as "eukaryotic small subunit ribosomal RNA". It matches the Rfam family "Eukaryotic small subunit ribosomal RNA", at positions 1173 to 1648 of the family's 1831-position model. Lineage: Eukaryota; Metazoa; Arthropoda; Insecta; Diptera; Culicidae. The record is from RNAcentral.